CGCUUGGUGGCGUAAUGGUAACAUGCUCCGUUGAUAUAGAUAUAUCAUAAGAGGACAGUUCGGAGUUCAAUUCUCUGUCAAGCCA
Mycena latifolia is the source of this 85-nucleotide non-coding RNA. The record is from the annotation of a GenBank genome assembly. Lineage: Eukaryota; Fungi; Basidiomycota; Agaricomycetes; Agaricales; Mycenaceae.